CGAUUGGGCAGAGCCGCACCCAACCCUAGCCUCCAAUGCACAACCACCCACUCCUCCCUCACCUCCCUCCCACAUCCGCCGCACCCCUCUCUCUCUCUUCCUUGUGUGUGCGUGGCGACGGGAGCGUAAGACGCAAGGAAGGACGAUGUCGUCGCCCCGUCGCCUAGGCACCAUGGCGGCGCCCACCGCGCGGGUUGGGGCUGGGCAGAAAGCCGGCGCCUACGUGCCAAAGUAGCGGGGUCGACCGUGGAGGGUGGCUCGCCAGCUAGAGCAGUAGGAGCAAGGAGGUCGUUGAGCGGCAAAUGCGGGCAGGGUCGGUAGUGGAUGGAGGCUCGCCGCCCGGAGCAGCAGGAGCAAGGAGGACGAUUUGGUUCAGAUAUUUGACUGCAUUACUGAAUCUUCUAGGGUUCGAGCAGCAGCUGAGCUUAGAUCGAAUCAUGUAUAUAUUUGCAGGGCAAGACAGGCACAUUAUUUGGAUCAUGAACUUACAGGAUGGUUUCCCCCGCCACAACCAUUGUAAUCAUCCUGCAUUCCCCCGUCAAGCGUGCAUCGGUGCUGGAUAUGCAAGCUGCAAUAGCGCAUCAACGGGCAGGCAAGAGCAAGAAGAUGGUCACGAUUUUUGCCAAGCAGUGGAAGACAAUGUUAACUGAAGCCAAUUUUGUUGGUCAUGGAUUUACAAGAAAACCAGUAGAGUAUGAAAAUGUUCUCAUGGAACCCACCCUGACUGAAAUCUAUCUUCAACCUUGCUUAAACUGAAAGCAAUGCAUGGUAUUGUUCAAUUCGAAGUGUACUUGACGUGUGCAGAUCUAAGGAUGAAGGGAAGAAGACAAAAUUUAGCUGAAGAGUUGAAUAAGAUUAAGUCUGCUUCAGUAAUGCUGUGGCAUGCCGCAAAACAACAACAUUUUUGCUGCUGCGAUUUGGUCCAUCCUGUGCAUUUCAGUUCCUGGUGCUCUCCAACGUUUGUCAGCUAAUGCCACCAGGAGGGCUGCCCACCCAAGACUUGUAAUGUGGGCAUCGGUACUGUCCUUUGACAUAUUUGGAAGUCACAUAAAGAUGUCGUUUCAACUCCUUCAGGUGCCAGGCCAAGGAUGUUACUCAUCGCUGCUGUGAAGACCUUGCGGUGUGGUGUUGGUUGUUCACAUCUUAUACUAGAAUAUAUAAAUUGAGCAUCAUGUCUGCAUCCAUGCUAUUUUUUGGUUUCUGUAAUCUAACCACCAAUAGUAUGAUAUAUAGGAUCUCUGGACAAACAACCACAAUGGGAGCAUUGUUUGGUGCAGCACAUACAAUAGCCACUACAAUGACCAGUGAAGCUGCAAAUUAACCUUGGAGAGUAUGGAAUAAUGAAUGCAAUGUAUUGUCUAUAGUUCCAACUCCUAAUGUCAACUUAAUGUCAACCUCGUGUGUCAGUGCUUUACAAUGGAUGAGAAAAGGUCAAAAACCGUAACUGAAGCUUUUGUCAGGUCGUAUAAAGAUGGCCUUAUUUACAGUUUAAAGCUGUAGGCACAGGCUUGCGGUAGGGGAAAAUCAUUGCCAGUCGAAAACCAAAAUGUUUAUUUGUGAUUAUGAUCAGGACUGCGCUUAUUCUGAAAUGGCGACGACCAAUAAUAUAAUGAAGUUCCUUGCUUAGAUGGUUGGUUAAGUCAUAGGUACAACAAGGAAAGGGCCAGCAAGAAAAUUAGCCAAUAAUUGGUUGACUGGUUUAACCCUAGGGAGAAGGUGGCUAAGAGGGCUUCUGAAAAGGGCCCAGGCUGAGGCUGAGGGGGAAACCGUUGAGUCCAAGAAGCUAAUUGCUCUGAAAUAUGGUCUUAGCCAUGUCACUUACCUCAUCGAGCAGAGCAACCCUCAGCUGGUCGUCAUUGCUCAUGAUAUUGACCUGGUUGUGGUUCCCAGCCCUGUGCAGGAAGUUGGGAGGUCCCAUACUGCAUUGUUAAGGGAAAAUCACACCUUGGAUUGACCGCCUCUGUUCUCUGCCUUACCACUGAAGAACGAGGACAAGCUUGAAUUCAGCAAGAUCUUGGAGGCUAUCAAAGGCUAACUUCAAUGACAAGUUCUACGAGGUCAGGAAGAAGCGGGAGGUGGUGUUUUGUGAAGCUCGCCGUUUCAGAGCCAUAUGAAUUUUUUAUAGAAACAUGAGUAGAGUAAAAUGGGCACAGCUUCUGGUACAUGUGAGGUACAGAAUCGUCAAUCUUUGUUGAAUGUUGUAACAUAUUUACAACUGGGUUCAGUUUUGAAUCAGAUAUAAAAACCAUUCAAGUUUCGGAUAGUUAUAUGAUGUGGCAUGUGCAUGCUUUAUAGUCACCUUGCAAAUUUCAUGAUGUCGCAUAGAUAUUUCUGUAUCUAUAUGAAUGUCGGACCCUGUGUAUAAAGGGGCUGUGCAGGACAAAAUGCUAUGGAUCCAGAGGAGUGGGAGGGGAGAGUUUAUCAACAACACAUCAAGGAGAAAGCGUGACGUGGAUUCCAAGUUCCAGCUAACAUAGCAAAAUUGUAUAUAGAGAAUGCCUGCAUUUUGCUAUUACAUAGUUUGGGGCUAUGUUUCUUUUAAUUUUCAUUAUUAAAAGGAUCCUUAUCAUUGCCAAAUUAUCAAGCAUUUAUUUUCAAAUAACUCUUGGUUUGAAAUGGGACCUUGCUCCAUUUGGCGCAAUGAGUAAUGUUAUUAUAUGUCUUAUUGUAGACAAGAAGCAUCCAUUCUUAUUGUAGACAGGAAGCCUUUGUUC
Molecule: long non-coding RNA, 2714 nt
Organism: Triticum dicoccoides
Lineage: Eukaryota; Viridiplantae; Streptophyta; Magnoliopsida; Poales; Poaceae
Exons: 13
Source: RefSeq, a predicted model, not a curated record